This 112-nucleotide ribosomal RNA is filed under the name Klebsiella pneumoniae. RNAcentral's name for it is "partial 16S ribosomal RNA". It matches the Rfam family "Bacterial small subunit ribosomal RNA", at positions 1 to 107 of the family's 1533-position model. Lineage: Bacteria; Pseudomonadati; Pseudomonadota; Gammaproteobacteria; Enterobacterales; Enterobacteriaceae. RNAcentral also lists the same sequence under 1 other name. The record is from RNAcentral.
AAAUUGAAGAGUUUGAUCAUGGCUCAGAUUGAACGCUGGCGGCAGGCCUAACACAUGCAAGUCGAGCGGUAGCACAGAGAGCUUGCUCUCGGGUGACGAGCGGCGGACGGGU